GGGAAAUUGUGCUUUGGAUAAUGAUGGUUUUGGUUAACGACGGUUCCGUUGGAACGGAUUACCAUCGUUAACCAAGGUACCACUGUAUAUUGUUGUUAUGUGCCAUCAAGUCGAGUUCAACUUCUGGUGACUGUUUGGACAAAUGCUCGCCAUUCAGACUUGUUUUUGGUCAGAUCACAGUUCUCUCAAAGUAUUUCCAGUAGUUGUCUUGGUCCUAUCUAUCCAUCUUAUUCGUUGUCGUCCUCUUCUUCUGCCUCCCUCAACCUUUCCAAGCAUAAUCAUCUUUUCCAGUCCAUGCUUUGCUCGCAUCACAUGUACAAAAUAUGAAAGCUGCUGUUUGGUGAU
This 345-nucleotide long non-coding RNA is filed under the name Androctonus crassicauda. Lineage: Eukaryota; Metazoa; Arthropoda; Arachnida; Scorpiones; Buthidae. The record is from RNAcentral.